This 460-nucleotide ribosomal RNA is filed under the name uncultured bacterium. RNAcentral's name for it is "bacterial SSU rRNA". It matches the Rfam family "Bacterial small subunit ribosomal RNA", at positions 28 to 507 of the family's 1533-position model. The record is from RNAcentral.
AUUGAACGCUAGCGGCAUGCCUUACACAUGCAAGUCGAACGGCAGCACGGGGGCGAACCCUGGUGGCGAGUGGCGAACGGGUGAGUAAUGCAUCGGAACGUGCCCAUCGAUGGGGGAUAACUGCGCGAAAGCGUUGCUAAUACCGCAUACGACCUUCGGGUGAAAGCGGGGGACCUUCGGGCCUCGCGCGAUUGGAUGAGCCGAUGCCGGAUUAGCUAGUUGGUGGGGUAACGGCCUACCAAGGCGACGAUGCGUAGCCGACCUGAGAGGGUGGACGGCCACACUGGGACUGAGACACGGUCCAGACUCCUACGGGAGGCAGCAGUGGGGAAUUUUGCGCAAUGGGGGAAACCCUGACGCAGCAACGCCGCGUGGAGGAUGAAGUCUCUUGGGACGUAAACUCCUUUCGAUCGGGACGAUUAUGACGGUACCGGAAGAAGAAGCCCCGGCUAACUUCGUG